RNAcentral lists this ribosomal RNA (775 nucleotides) under uncultured Neocallimastigales. Its description in RNAcentral is "partial large subunit ribosomal RNA". It matches the Rfam family "Eukaryotic large subunit ribosomal RNA", at positions 24 to 645 of the family's 3401-position model. Lineage: Eukaryota; Fungi; Neocallimastigomycota; Neocallimastigomycetes; Neocallimastigales. The record is from RNAcentral.
UAUCUCUGUAGAGUCUGCAUAUCAAUAAGCGGAGGAAAAGAAACUAACAAGGAUUCCCCUAGUAACGGCGAGUGAAGCGGGGAGAGCUCAAAUUUGAAAUCUUAAAGGGUUUCCCUUUACGAAUUGUAGUUUAAAGAAGUGUUUUCUGUUGGAGUUUCGGUAAAAGUUCUUUGGAAUAGGACAUCAUAGAGGGUGAGAAUCCCGUAUUUGACCGUUACUUUCCAGCUGUGUGAUACACUUUCAAAGAGUCGGAUUGUUUGGGAAUGCAGUCCAAAAUGGGUGGUAAAUUUCAUCUAAAGCUAAAUAUUGGCGAGAGACCGAUAGCGAACAAGUACCGUGAGGGAAAGAUGAAAAGAACUUUGAAAAGAGAGUUAAACAGUACGUGAAAUCGUCAAAAGGGAAGCGUUUGACACCAGUGUUGUUUAGUUGAAAAUCAAUUAAAUAGUUUUCGAUUUUAAGUAGUAUUGACCUUAUCAGCUUGCUGCUUUCUUCUCGGAAAUUAUUUAAUGCUCUUUUCAGUUAACAAGUCAACAUCAAUUUCUUUUGUUGUAAAAAGGUAAGAGGAAGGUGGCUUGCGCUUCGGCUCAAGUGUUUAUAGCCUUUUACUUCUGCAAUCGGAGAGAUUGAGGUCUGCAGCGUAGAUCCUUCGGGGUUAGAUACAUUUGUGCUAAGUUAUAGCCUUGUAUAGACAACUUGUUGACUAUGAUCAGUCAUGUAGCUUACUCGCUUAUGCUAGUUUUACCUACGCUUAGGAUGUUGAUGUGAUACUGCGAGC